GACGAACGCUGGCGGCGUGCUUAACACAUGCAAGUCGAACGGAAAGGCCCUGCUUUUGUGGGGUGCUCGAGUGGCGAACGGGUGAGUAACACGUGAGUAACCUGCCCUUGACUUUGGGAUAACUUCAGGAAACUGGGGCUAAUACCGGAUAGGAGCUCCUGCUGCAUGGUGGGGGUUGGAAAGUUUCGGCGGUUGGGGAUGGACUCGCGGCUUAUCAGCUUGUUGGUGGGGUAGUGGCUUACCAAGGCUUUGACGGGUAGCAGGCCUGCGAGGGUGACCGGCCACAUUGGGACUGAGAUGCGGCCCAGACUCCUACGGGAGGCAGCAGUGGGGAAUAGUGCACAAUGGGCGGAAGCCUGAUGCAGUAACGCAGCGUGCGGGAUGACGGCCUUCGGGUUGGAAACCGCUUUCGCCUGUGACGAAGCGUGAGUGACGGUAAUGGGUAAAGAAGCACCGGCUAACUACGUG
RNAcentral lists this ribosomal RNA (468 nucleotides) under uncultured bacterium. Its description in RNAcentral is "partial 16S ribosomal RNA". It matches the Rfam family "Bacterial small subunit ribosomal RNA", at positions 28 to 507 of the family's 1533-position model. The record is from RNAcentral.